UACAGAGGUCCCAAGCGUUGUUCGGAUUCACUGGGCGUAAAGGGUGCGUAGGUGGUUGGGUAAGUUUGAUGUGAAAUCUCCGGGCUUAACCCGGAAACUGCAUUGAAUACUAUCUGGCUAGAGGGUUGGAGGGGGGACUGGAAUACUUGGUGUAGCAGUGAAAUGCGUAGAUAUCAAGUGGAACACCAGUGGCGAAGGCGAGUCCCUGGACAACUCCUGACACUGAGGCACGAAAGCCAGGGGAGCAAACGGG
RNAcentral lists this ribosomal RNA (253 nucleotides) under uncultured bacterium. RNAcentral's name for it is "partial 16S ribosomal RNA". It matches the Rfam family "Bacterial small subunit ribosomal RNA", at positions 524 to 776 of the family's 1533-position model. The record is from RNAcentral.